This 400-nucleotide ribosomal RNA is filed under the name uncultured bacterium. Its description in RNAcentral is "bacterial SSU rRNA". It matches the Rfam family "Bacterial small subunit ribosomal RNA", at positions 356 to 773 of the family's 1533-position model. The record is from RNAcentral.
GGGGAAUAUUGGACAAUGGGCGCAAGCCUGAUCCGGCAAUGCCGCGUGUGUGAAGAAGGUCUUCGGAUUGUAAAGCACUUUCGGCGGGGACGAUGAUGACGGUACCCGCAGAAGAAGCCCCGGCUAACUUCGUGCCAGCAGCCGCGGUAAUACGCAGGGGGCUAGCGUUGCUCGGAAUUACUGGGCGUAAAGGGCGCGUAGGCGGCGCUGCAAGUCAGGCGUGAAAUUCCUGGGCUUAACCUGGGGGCUGCGCUUGAGACUGUGGUGCUAGAGGACGGAAGAGGGUAGUGGAAUUCCCAGUGUAGAGGUGAAAUUCGUAGAUAUUGGGAAGAACACCGGUGGCGAAGGCGGCGACCUGGUCCGUUACUGACGCUGAGGCGCGACAGCGUGGGGAGCAAAC